GAUGAAGAACGUAGCGAAAUGCGAUAAGUAGUGUGAAUUGCAGAAUUCAGUGAAUCAUCGAAUCUUUGAACGCACAUUGCGCCCUUUGGUAUUCCUUAGGGCAUGCCUGUUCGAGCGUCAUUUAAACCUUCAAGCUCAGCUUGGUGUUGGGUGACUGUCCGCUUCACCGCGGACUCGCCUCAAAAUUAUUGGCGGCCGGUACAUUGGCUCUCGAGCGCAGCAGAAACGCGUAACUCGAGGUCUUCGUGCUGGCUCCCAGAAGCUAUCUUCACAAUUUUGACCUCGGAUCAGGUAGGGAUACCCGCUGAACUUAAGCAUAUCAAUAAGCGGAGGA
RNAcentral lists this unclassified non-coding RNA (334 nucleotides) under soil metagenome. RNAcentral describes it as "partial contains 5.8S ribosomal RNA, internal transcribed spacer 2, and large subunit ribosomal RNA". The stretch from base 1 to 120 matches the Rfam family "5.8S ribosomal RNA", at positions 35 to 154 of the family's 154-position model. The record is from RNAcentral.